GGGCGGUUAGCUCAGCCGGUUAGAGCGCAUGCCUCACAUGCAUGAGGUCACAGGUUCGAGUCCUGUACCGCCCACCA
RNAcentral lists this transfer RNA (77 nucleotides) under Pseudomonadota bacterium. RNAcentral describes it as "tRNA-Val". It matches the Rfam family "tRNA". From Rfam's summary of the family: Transfer RNA (tRNA) molecules are approximately 80 nucleotides in length. Their secondary structure includes four short double-helical elements and three loops (D, anti-codon, and T loops). Lineage: Bacteria; Pseudomonadati; Pseudomonadota. The record is from RNAcentral. RNAcentral also lists the same sequence under 1 other name.